RNAcentral lists this unclassified non-coding RNA (546 nucleotides) under plant metagenome. RNAcentral describes it as "partial contains small subunit ribosomal RNA and internal transcribed spacer 1". The stretch from base 43 to 324 matches the Rfam family "Group I catalytic intron". From Rfam's summary of the family: Group I catalytic introns are large self-splicing ribozymes. They catalyse their own excision from mRNA, tRNA and rRNA precursors in a wide range of organisms. The core secondary structure consists of 9 paired regions (P1-P9). The record is from RNAcentral.
AAGUCGUAACAAGGUUUUUGCUAAGCAACAGUCCUUCUGUAGCAGAGCUUCUCGGAGACCUUGCACCCGAGAGGGGGGGAGGCGAUUAUAAACAAGCUUCCAGCGCAAGUCAGCACUGCUGGCAACACAAUCGAAUUGCGGGGACGCUUUAAAGCCUACCAGCACCAACUACCCCUCACCGGGUAGGGCGAGCACGCUCGAGGUCACAAUCUGGUAGGAUGCCACAAUAAGCAAUCCGCAGCGGCUCAGCCGUCCACAGACUAAGUGGUUGUGGGUAGGAGAACCCUAUCUAAGAUAUAGUCGGGCCUGAAGAGAGAUCUCCAGGGCUUCUGCGUCCGUAGGUGAACCUGCGGAAGGAUCAUUAAUAAGGAUGCUGGAAGGGGGGUGAGCCCACGCCUCCCCUAGACGGUAUACCCCACCCGUGUCUAUCUACUCUUGUUGCUUUGGCAGGCCGUGGCCUCCACUGUGGGCUCUGCCUGCAUGUGCCUGCCAGAGGAUUAAACUCUGAAUUUUAGUGAUGUCUGAGAACUAUCUAAUAGUUAAAAC